AUGCAUGUGUUGUCGCCACUACUUUUCCGCGAUCUCGGCAGCUACAUGCGAGGCCGCCGUCACUGCACCACCAUCCCUCUGCGUCAAGCCGUCGUUCAUAAUUUGUAUCUCAUCACUGAAGUCAUCAACCGGAUCAGAAGAGAUGACCCUCCAGAAGUUCUUUCGAUGACCACGCCAUCUUGGAACUGUAGGAAGUCGCUGCAGUAUAUGCAGUCAUCACCAUCCGGCCGAUUAGAUCUGGAUCACCACCACCAAGCCGUGGAUCGCAGCGCCGACGGCCAGCCACCACACGCGGGCAUCGUUGGCUAG
This 309-nucleotide ribosomal RNA is filed under the name Triticum aestivum (bread wheat). RNAcentral describes it as "partial small subunit ribosomal RNA". The record is from RNAcentral. Lineage: Eukaryota; Viridiplantae; Streptophyta; Magnoliopsida; Poales; Poaceae.